This 284-nucleotide unclassified non-coding RNA is filed under the name plant metagenome. Its description in RNAcentral is "partial contains small subunit ribosomal RNA, internal transcribed spacer 1, and 5.8S ribosomal RNA". The stretch from base 1 to 53 matches the Rfam family "Eukaryotic small subunit ribosomal RNA", at positions 1778 to 1831 of the family's 1831-position model. The record is from RNAcentral.
GGAAGUAAAAGUCUAACAAGGUUUCCGUAGGUGGACCUGCGGAAGGAUCAUUAUUGUAUAACCGAGGUGCGAGGGCUGUCGCUGACCCGAAAGGUCGUGCACGCCCGAGUGCCCUCACACACAUCCAUCUCACCCCUAUGUGCACCACCGCGUGGGUCCCCCUUUGGCUUGUUCGGAGGGGGGCUUACGUUUUCACACAAACUUUGUAUGCAGUGUAGAAUGUAUUUUUUGUUUUUGCGAUCACGCAAUCAAUACAACUUUCAACAACGGAUCUCUUGGCUCUC